This 91-nucleotide non-coding RNA is filed under the name Candidatus Competibacter. RNAcentral's name for it is "c-di-GMP sequence". It matches the Rfam family "c-di-GMP-I riboswitch aptamer". From Rfam's summary of the family: GEMM was predicted in a large-scale screen for bacterial structured RNA regulatory elements. Genes associated with GEMM are involved in a diverse array of functions, including chemotaxis regulation, signal transduction, secretion and chitin. RNAcentral also lists the same sequence under 1 other name. The record is from RNAcentral. Lineage: Bacteria; Pseudomonadati; Pseudomonadota; Gammaproteobacteria; Candidatus Competibacteraceae.
GCUUGAUAAUGGCAAACCUACCGAAAGGUAGCGGCGCAAAACUACUGGCCUAACCUCCAUACAAACGGAGCACGGUCGCAGGGUCGCCAAG